CCUACGGGAGGCAGCAGUAGGGAAUCUUUCACAAUGGGCGAAAGCCUGAUGGAGCAACGCCGCGUGCAGGAUGAAGGCCUUCGGGUUGUACACUGCUUUUAUAAGCGAGAAAUAUGAUGGUAACUUAUGAAUAAGGAUCGGCUAACUACGUGCCAGCAGCCGUGGUCAUACGUAGGAUCCGAGCAUUAUCCGGAGUGACUGGGUGUAAAGAGUUGCGUAGGUGGCAUAAUAAGUAGCUAGUGAAAUCUGGUGGCUCAACCAUUCAGACUAUUAGCUAAACUGUUAAGCUCGAGACCGUUAGGGGUAACUGGAAUUUCUAGUGUAGGAGUGAAAUCCGUAGAUAUUAGAAGGAACACCAAUAGCGUAGGCAGGUUGCUGGGACGGUUCUGACACUAAGGCACGAAAGCGUAGGGAGCAAACGGGAUUAGAUACCCCUGUAGUC
Molecule: ribosomal RNA, 442 nt
Filed under: uncultured bacterium
Lineage: Bacteria
Description: partial 16S ribosomal RNA
Rfam family: Bacterial small subunit ribosomal RNA
Source: RNAcentral